This 201-nucleotide unclassified non-coding RNA is filed under the name Hevea brasiliensis (rubber tree). The record is from RNAcentral. Lineage: Eukaryota; Viridiplantae; Streptophyta; Magnoliopsida; Malpighiales; Euphorbiaceae.
GGACAACGUCGAAGAAGAAAACGUGCUAGGUCAAACUUUCAACAGACUCAACUGUCUCCCAGUGAGCAGCAACCUUAUGACGUGGCUAGAAACUCCUUACCUGAUAUGAACAAUGCCAAUGCGCAGUUUUCUGGGUACAUUGCAAAUGAAAGCCAACCAGAGAACAAUAUGAUGGUACCGAGGAAGUCUGUGGAGAGAAAC